GUGCUUGCUUCGGCAGCACAUAUACUAACAUUGGAAUGAUACAGCAAAGAUUAGCAUGGCUCCUGUGCAAGGAUGAUACGCAAAUUCGUGAAGCAUUCCAUAUUUUU
This 107-nucleotide small nuclear RNA is filed under the name Echinops telfairi (small Madagascar hedgehog). Lineage: Eukaryota; Metazoa; Chordata; Mammalia; Afrosoricida; Tenrecidae. The record is from RNAcentral.